AGUGAACGCUGGCGGUAGGCCUAACACAUGCGAGUCGAACGGCAGCACAGUAAGAGCUUGCUCUUACGGGUGGCGAGUGGCGGACGGGUGAGGAAUACAUCGGAAUCUACUUUUUCGUGGGGGAUAACGUAGGGAAACUUACGCUAAUACCGCAUACGACCUACGGGUGAAAGCAGGGGAUCUUCGGACCUUGCGCGAUUGAAUGAGCCGAUGUCGGAUUAGCUAGUUGGCGGGGUAAAGGCCCACCAAGGCGACGAUCCGUAGCUGGUCUGAGAGGAUGAUCAGCCACACUGGAACUGAGACACGGUCCAGACUCCUACGGGAGGCAGAAGUGGGGAAUAUUGGACAAUGGGCGCAAGCCUGAUCCAGCCAUACCGCGUGGGUGAAGAAGGCCUUCGGGUUGUAAAGCCCUUUUGUUGGGAAAGAAAAGCAGCAGGUUAAUACCCCGCUGUUCUGACGGUACCCAAAGAAUAAGCACCGGCUAACUUCGUG
Molecule: ribosomal RNA, 492 nt
Filed under: uncultured bacterium
Lineage: Bacteria
Description: partial 16S ribosomal RNA
Rfam family: Bacterial small subunit ribosomal RNA
Source: RNAcentral